CGCAGCCGCGGUAAUUCCAGCUCCAAUAGCGUAUAUUAAAGUUGUUGCAGUUAAAAAGCUCGUAGUUGAAUUUCGGGACCAAUCUGCCGGUCGUGCCUCCGGUACGCACUGGUUUUAUUGGUUUCUCCCUUCUGACGAACCAUGAUGUCAUUAAUUUGGUGUCAUGGGGAAUCAGGACUGUUACUUUGAAAAAAUUUAGAGUGUUUAUAGCAGGCUCACGCUUGAAUACAUUAGCAUGGAAUAAUGAAAUAGGACGUUUGAUUCUAUUUUGUUGGUUUCUAGGAUCGACGUAAUGAUUAAUAGGGAUAGUUGGGGGCAUUAGUAUUCAAUUGUCAGAGGUGAAAUUCUUGGAUUUAUUGAAGACUAACUACUGCGAAAGCAUUUGCCAAGGAUGUUUUCAUUAAUCAAGAACGAAAGUUAGGGGAUCGAAGACGAUCAGAUACCGUCGUAGUCUUAACUAUAAACUAUGCCGACUAGGGAUCGGAUGAUGUUAAUUUUUUUAAUGACUCAUUCGUCGCCU
Molecule: ribosomal RNA, 520 nt
Filed under: uncultured Glomus
Lineage: Eukaryota; Fungi; Glomeromycota; Glomeromycetes; Glomerales; Glomeraceae
Description: SSU rRNA
Rfam family: Eukaryotic small subunit ribosomal RNA
Source: RNAcentral